GGCUUCGUGGUGUAGUUUGGUAUCACGUCAGUCUAACACGCUGAAGGUCUCCAGUUCGAACCUGGACGAAGUCA
RNAcentral lists this transfer RNA (74 nucleotides) under Hypoxylon fuscum. RNAcentral describes it as "tRNA-Val". It matches the Rfam family "tRNA". From Rfam's summary of the family: Transfer RNA (tRNA) molecules are approximately 80 nucleotides in length. Their secondary structure includes four short double-helical elements and three loops (D, anti-codon, and T loops). Lineage: Eukaryota; Fungi; Ascomycota; Sordariomycetes; Xylariales; Hypoxylaceae. The record is from RNAcentral.